RNAcentral lists this ribosomal RNA (452 nucleotides) under uncultured bacterium. RNAcentral's name for it is "bacterial SSU rRNA". It matches the Rfam family "Bacterial small subunit ribosomal RNA", at positions 28 to 478 of the family's 1533-position model. The record is from RNAcentral.
GAUGAACGCUGGCGGCGUGCUUAACACAUGCAAGUCGAACGAAGCACUUUAUUUGAUUUCCUUCGGGACUGAUUAUUUUGUGACUGAGUGGCGGACGGGUGAGUAACGCGUGGGUAACCUGCCUUGUACAGGGGGAUAACAGUUGGAAACGGCUGCUAAUACCGCAUAAGCGCACGGCAUCGCAUGAUGCAGUGUGAAAAACUCCGGUGGUAUAAGAUGGACCCGCGUUGGAUUAGCUAGUUGGUGAGGUAACGGCCCACCAAGGCGACGAUCCAUAGCCGACCUGAGAGGGUGACCGGCCACAUUGGGACUGAGACACGGCCCAAACUCCUACGGGAGGCAGCAGUGGGGAAUAUUGCACAAUGGGCGAAAGCCUGAUGCAGCGACGCCGCGUGAGCGAAGGAGUAUUUCGGUAUGUAAAGCUCUAUCAGCAGGGAAGAUAAUGACGGUAC